CAUGGCCUGCAGCCCUGA
Molecule: unclassified non-coding RNA, 18 nt
Filed under: Chlamydomonas reinhardtii
Lineage: Eukaryota; Viridiplantae; Chlorophyta; Chlorophyceae; Chlamydomonadales; Chlamydomonadaceae
Description: small RNA Cre_0987
Source: RNAcentral